UGGCUCUCGCAUCGAUGAAGAACGCAGCGAAAUGCGAUAAGUAAUGUGAAUUGCAGAAUUCAGUGAAUCAUCGAAUCUUUGAACGCAAAUUGCGCCCUUUGGUAUUCCGAAGGGCAUGCCUGUUUGAGUGUCAUAUAGACCUUCACCCAACCAUUUGCUUGGUUGCCGGUGCUUUGGACGUUUUGCCAUUAACCCUGGCUCGUCUUAAAUGUCUGAGUGGGAAACCUUUGGCGUGAUAAGUCUUCGCUUUAGUACCUCCACUAUAAUAACACUUUUAUCUCUGACCUCAAAUCAGGUAGGACUACCCGCUGA
RNAcentral lists this unclassified non-coding RNA (312 nucleotides) under uncultured fungus. RNAcentral describes it as "partial contains 5.8S ribosomal RNA and internal transcribed spacer 2". The stretch from base 1 to 133 matches the Rfam family "5.8S ribosomal RNA", at positions 22 to 154 of the family's 154-position model. Lineage: Eukaryota; Fungi. The record is from RNAcentral.